GAUGAACGCUGGCGGCGUGCCUAAUACAUGCAAGUCGAGCGAACAGACGAGGAGCUUGCUCCUCUGACGUUAGCGGCUGACGGGCGAGUAACACGUGGAUAACCUACCUAUAAGACUGGGAUAACUUCGGGAAACCGGAGCUACUACCGGAUAAUAUAUUGAACCGCAUGGUUCAAUAGUGAAUGACGGUUUUGCUGUCACUUAUAGAUGGAUCCGCGCCGCAUUAGCUAGUUGGUAAGGUAACGGCUUACCAAGGCAACGAUGCGUAGCCGACCUGAGAGGGUGAUCGGCCACACUGGAACUGAGACACGGUCCAGACUCCUACGGGAGGCAGCAGUAGGGAAUCUUCGGCAAUGGGCGAAAGCCUGACGGAGCAACGCCGCGUGAGUGAUGAAGGUCUUCGGAUCGUAAAACUCUGUUAUUAGGGAAGAACAAAUGUGUAAGUAACUAUGCACGUCUUGACGGUACCUAAUCAGAAAGCCACGGCUAACUACGUG
This 497-nucleotide ribosomal RNA is filed under the name uncultured bacterium. Its description in RNAcentral is "partial 16S ribosomal RNA". It matches the Rfam family "Bacterial small subunit ribosomal RNA", at positions 28 to 507 of the family's 1533-position model. The record is from RNAcentral.